This 484-nucleotide ribosomal RNA is filed under the name uncultured bacterium. Its description in RNAcentral is "partial 16S ribosomal RNA". It matches the Rfam family "Bacterial small subunit ribosomal RNA", at positions 30 to 507 of the family's 1533-position model. The record is from RNAcentral.
AUUGAACGCUGGCGGCAGGCCUAACACAUGCAAGUCGAGCGGAUGAACGGAGCUUGCUCCUGCAUUCAGCUGCCGACGGGCGAGUGAGUCCUAGGUAUCUCCCCGUCAUCUUGGGCUUACGUCAGGACGCGGGCGCUCAUACCGCAUCAGUUCAUAGGGACAACGUGGGGGAUCUUCGGACCUCACGCUAUUAGAUGAUCCUAGGUCGGAUUAGCUAGUUGGCGGGGUAAAGGCCUACCAAGGCGACGAUCCGUAACUGGUCUGAGAGGAUGAUCAGUCACACUGGAACUGAGACACGGUCCAGACUCCUACGGGAGGCAGCAGUGGGGAAUAUUGGACAAUGGGCGAAAGCCUGAUCCAGCCAUGCCGCGUGUGUGAAGAAGGUCUUCGGAUUGUAAAGCACUUUAAUUUGGGAAGAAGGGCAGUAAGUUAAUACCUUGCUGUUUUGACGGUACCAAAAGAAUAAGCACCGGCUAACUUCGUG